RNAcentral lists this small RNA (102 nucleotides) under Mustela putorius furo (domestic ferret). RNAcentral describes it as "7SK RNA (ENSMPUG00000023251.1)". It matches the Rfam family "7SK RNA", at positions 172 to 273 of the family's 331-position model. From Rfam's summary of the family: 7SK was discovered as an abundant small nuclear RNA in the mid-70s but a possible function has only recently been suggested. Two independent studies have found that 7SK RNA binds the CDK9/cyclin T complex (known as elongation factor P-TEFb). P-TEFb activates transcription by phosphorylating the C-terminal domain of RNA polymerase II. The record is from RNAcentral. Lineage: Eukaryota; Metazoa; Chordata; Mammalia; Carnivora; Mustelidae.
ACCUUGCUUUGGUCAAGGUUAUACAAGUAGCUGUGCUCCCCAGUUAGAACCUCCAAACAAGCUCCCAAGGUCCAUUUGCAGGAGAACAUAGGGUAACCAAGC